Molecule: ribosomal RNA, 862 nt
Filed under: uncultured bacterium
Lineage: Bacteria
Description: bacterial SSU rRNA
Rfam family: Bacterial small subunit ribosomal RNA
Source: RNAcentral
GGCGGCAUGCUUUACACAUGCAAGUCGAACGGUAACAGGUCUUCGGAUGCUGACGAGUGGCGAACGGGUGAGUAAUGCAUCGGAACGUGCCCAGUCGUGGGGGAUAACGCAGCGAAAGCUGUGCUAAUACUGCAUACGAUCUAUGGAUGAAAGCGGGGGACUCGCAAGGGCCUCGCGCGAUUGGAGCGGCCGAUGUCAGAUUAGGUAGUUGGUGGGGUAAAGGCUCACCAAGCCAACGAUCUGUAGCUGGUCUGAGAGGACGACCAGCCACACUGGAACUGAGACACGGUCCAGACUCCUACGGGAGGCAGCAGUGGGGAAUUUUGGACAAUGGGCGCAAGCCUGAUCCAGCCAUGCCGCGUGCAGGAAGAAGGCCUUCGGGUUGUAAACUGCUUUUGUACGGAACGAAACGGUCCUGGUUAAUACCUGGGGCUAAUGACGGUACCGUAAGAAUAAGCACCGGCUAACUACGUGCCAGCAGCCGCGGUAAUACGUAGGGUGCAAGCGUUAAUCGGAAUUACUGGGCGUAAAGCGUGCGCAGGCGGUUUUGUAAGACAGUCGUGAAAUCCCCGGGCUCAACCUGGGAAUUGCGAUUGUGACUGCAAGGCUGGAGUGCGGCAGAGGGGGAUGGAAUUCCGCGUGUAGCAGUGAAAUGCGUAGAUAUGCGGAGGAACACCGAUGGCGAAGGCAAUCCCCUGGGCCUGCACUGACGCUCAUGCACGAAAGCGUGGGGAGCAAACAGGAUUAGAUACCCUGGUAGUCCACGCCCUAAACGAUGUCAACUGGUUGUUGGGUCUCUUCUGACUCAGUAACGAAGCUAACGCGUGAAGUUGACCGCCUGGGGAGUACGGCCGCAAGGUUG